RNAcentral lists this small nucleolar RNA (67 nucleotides) under Euglena gracilis. RNAcentral describes it as "Eg-m8 box C/D methylation-guide snoRNA". The record is from RNAcentral. Lineage: Eukaryota; Euglenozoa; Euglenophyceae; Euglenales; Euglenaceae.
CCGUGAUGCUAAUUACCCUAUGCCGAAUCUGAGAUGCUUUGAUGCGGUUUUCUCAUCGUGCCUGACG